RNAcentral lists this transfer RNA (74 nucleotides) under Bacidia sp. RNAcentral describes it as "tRNA-Ala". It matches the Rfam family "tRNA". Rfam says of the family: Transfer RNA (tRNA) molecules are approximately 80 nucleotides in length. Their secondary structure includes four short double-helical elements and three loops (D, anti-codon, and T loops). Further hydrogen bonds mediate the characteristic L-shaped molecular structure. tRNAs have two regions of fundamental functional importance: the anti-codon, which is responsible for specific mRNA codon recognition, and the 3' end, to which the tRNAs corresponding amino acid is attached (by aminoacyl-tRNA synthetases). tRNAs cope with the degeneracy of the genetic code in two manners: having more than one tRNA (with a specific anti-codon) for a particular amino acid; and 'wobble' base-pairing, i.e. permitting non-standard base-pairing at the 3rd anti-codon position. Lineage: Eukaryota; Fungi; Ascomycota; Lecanoromycetes; Lecanorales; Ramalinaceae. The record is from RNAcentral.
UGGGGAUAUGGUUUAAUUGGUAAAACGUUGAUUUUGCAUAUCUUUGUUUCAGGUUCAAAUCCUGAUAUCUCCAA